GGGAUUCAUUUCCUAGUACGUAGUUAACGGCGUGAAGUGACGGCCUGGGGAGUACGGUCGCAAGAUUUAAACUCAAAGGGAAUUGACGGGGACCCGCACAAGUCGGUGGAUGAUGUGGAUUAAUUCGAUGCAACGCGUUAAACCUUACUCUACCCGGUGACAUGCCAUCGUAACGAAGCAGAGAUGCAUUAGGUGCUCGAAAGAGAAAGUGGACACAGGUGCUGCAGUGGCUGUCGUCAGCUCGUGUCGUGAGAUGAUUGGGUUANAGUNNCCGCAACGAGCGCAACCCUUGUCUCUAGUUGCUNCGAAAGNGGCACUCUAGAGAGACUAGCCGGUGACAAACCGGAGGAACGGUGGGGAUGACGUCAAGUCUCUCAUGGCCCUUAUGGGUAGGGCUUCACACGUCAUACGAAUGGUGCAUACAGAGGGUUGCCAAGCCGCGAGGUGGAGCUAAUCCCAGAACAAUGCAUCGUAGUCCGGAUCGUAGUCUGCAACUCGAAUACGUGAAGCUGGAAUCGUCUAGUAAUCGCGGAUCAGCAUNCCGCGGUGANACGUUCCCGGGUUCUUGUACACAACCGCCCGUCACAACCAUGGGAGUGGGUUUUGCCAGAAGUAGUUAGCCUAACCGCAAAGGGGCGAGNACCACGGCAGGU
RNAcentral lists this ribosomal RNA (653 nucleotides) under Ralstonia sp. LCSAOTU20. RNAcentral's name for it is "bacterial SSU rRNA". It matches the Rfam family "Bacterial small subunit ribosomal RNA", at positions 826 to 1467 of the family's 1533-position model. Lineage: Bacteria; Pseudomonadati; Pseudomonadota; Betaproteobacteria; Burkholderiales; Burkholderiaceae. The record is from RNAcentral.